RNAcentral lists this transfer RNA (63 nucleotides) under Phrynosoma platyrhinos (Desert horned lizard). Its description in RNAcentral is "tRNA-OTHER". Lineage: Eukaryota; Metazoa; Chordata; Lepidosauria; Squamata; Phrynosomatidae. The record is from RNAcentral.
GCCAGUAUGGUGGUUUGAGUGCUGGACUGCAACUCUGGAGACCAGGGUUCGAAUCCCUGGUCA